UGAGAGAAGCUGCUUCUAGUACGAGAGGACCGAAGUGGACGUACCUCUGGUGUUCCAGUUGUCACGCCAGUGGCAUUGCUGGGUAGCUAUGUACGGACGGGAUAACCGCUGAAAGCAUCUAAGCGGGAAGCCCCCCUCAAGAUAAGGUUUGCAGUCCCGAUUUAUCGGGAGAGAGACCCCCGGAAGACUACCGGGUUGAUAGGCCGCAGCUGUAAGGGUUGAAAUGCCCUCAGGUGAGCGGUACUAACGGUCGAUUGCUUAACCACA
RNAcentral lists this ribosomal RNA (267 nucleotides) under Phycisphaeraceae bacterium. Its description in RNAcentral is "partial 23S ribosomal RNA". It matches the Rfam family "Bacterial large subunit ribosomal RNA", at positions 2663 to 2925 of the family's 2925-position model. Lineage: Bacteria; Pseudomonadati; Planctomycetota; Phycisphaerae; Phycisphaerales; Phycisphaeraceae. The record is from RNAcentral.